Long non-coding RNA from Callithrix jacchus (white-tufted-ear marmoset), 1594 nucleotides. The record is from Ensembl. NCBI's taxonomy places the organism in Eukaryota, Metazoa, Chordata, Mammalia, Primates, Cebidae.
UGCCUCAGCCCCCCCAAAUAGCUGGGGCUACAGGUGCAUGCCACCACGUCUGGCUAAUUUUUGUAUUUUUAGUAGAGACAGGGUUUUACCACAUUGGCCGGGCUAGUCUUGAACUCCUGACCUCAUGCUCCAGCCACCGUGACCCCGAAAGUGCUAGGAUUACAGGUGUGAGUCACCGCACUAGCCUAAAACUAUAUUUUAAAUAACUGAAUAAAUAAUUUAAAAAUGGUAAAAAGCAGCAAACCUUAUACAAUAUAUUUAAAUAAUGUUACUUAAUAUUUUUGAUAAUCUAUUUUUAUAUAAUUUAUAUAACUGAUAAAUUAUGACAUUUACUCUUCACAGUCACAAUAGGUAUCAUUAUUGUCAUCACUGGAGAAGGAAGGAAACUGACAGUUGAAGAGACUAAGUUACUAUAGCCGAUGAGUUAACGUUUUCACUGGACCGAUUGGACUGAAAUGGCAAGACUGAAUGAGGUUGUGGCAUUUGAGACUCCAGUAAGAUUCAACGUAUCGGCACUUAAUUUAACAGACCUUUCUGAUGAAGUCCAAUGUGUAUGUGCUUCGUGAAAUACAGUUUGAAAAUGAAAGCUGAAUACAAUGUAGAGAGAUAAUUAAACAUAAAAAUUUAUGAAGCAAUUUCAUUAUUUAUGGAUACUACAUAAUUUUUUACAACUUAAAUAGAUAUAACUGUUAUCUUCCUUAUUCCUCUUCAUGGGAGAAUGUUAAUGUGAUUGUAACAUAAAAUCUCAGAAGAGUAUUUCUUUUUUGAUGUCUUAUUUUAUUGAUCUCUACUUUAAGAUAAUUUCAUGACAUUUUCUUCUUUGGGAAAUGACCCAUGAGGAAUGAACAUAAUUGCUACACUUUAUGUAUUUAUUGUCUGACUUCAUCCCACAUUUUCAUUAAUUCAAAUGUAUCUAUCCUUCUAUAGAUAACUCAUUGUGGAAAGCACUAACCUGUAUGGAACUCGGGCUUUGAAUUCAGUGACAGUCUUAACAUUGCCAUUUACUAACUACGUGAUCUCAAACAAGCCAUUGGGCAUCUGCGUUUUUCAAUUAGUUAAAUAAAUAAGCCUGACAAUGCAAUGUUCUUUUGAGGAAUAAAUGAGAUUAUAUCAGCAAAUAGUAGGUUCAGAGUAAGUGCUCACCCCAUCACAAACUAGUGUAUAUAUGCUCUGAUCAUUUUCAUAACUCUUGGCUGAGCAAUUAGUUCUUAGACUCCACUGAUUCUGUUUACUUUGCUCAUGUUAAAAAUCAUUUAAGUAAGAAGAAUAAAAAGGAAUGCUUAUAACAGUGUGAAAGGGUCAAACAAGGUUAACAUGAAAUCAGAAUAGAACAAGGUCUAAGCGUUUCUAAAGUGUCCUUAUUCAGUCACUAAUACAUAAAUUAAGUACUCAUGAUGGGCCAGGAUAAUGCUAAUAAGAAUUAAGUUUUCAAAAAUGUCUAUUGAUAGUCACUGCCGAUACACAGUUUCAUCUUUGAUGAUUCUCAGUUAAAAUUCUACUGUUGGUUUUCAGUUUGGUUUUACAAAUGCUUAUUCAAUACCACUUAAGUACAGGGUAUGGUUCUAGAGCCGGGCACUCAUUCCUGAUGUCUAUG